RNAcentral lists this transfer RNA (79 nucleotides) under Alcaligenaceae bacterium. Its description in RNAcentral is "tRNA-Ile". It matches the Rfam family "tRNA". Rfam says of the family: Transfer RNA (tRNA) molecules are approximately 80 nucleotides in length. Their secondary structure includes four short double-helical elements and three loops (D, anti-codon, and T loops). Further hydrogen bonds mediate the characteristic L-shaped molecular structure. tRNAs have two regions of fundamental functional importance: the anti-codon, which is responsible for specific mRNA codon recognition, and the 3' end, to which the tRNAs corresponding amino acid is attached (by aminoacyl-tRNA synthetases). tRNAs cope with the degeneracy of the genetic code in two manners: having more than one tRNA (with a specific anti-codon) for a particular amino acid; and 'wobble' base-pairing, i.e. permitting non-standard base-pairing at the 3rd anti-codon position. The record is from RNAcentral. Lineage: Bacteria; Pseudomonadati; Pseudomonadota; Betaproteobacteria; Burkholderiales; Alcaligenaceae.
GCCCCUCUAGCUCAUGCUUGGUUAGAGCAGUGGACUCAUAAUCCAUUGGUGCGCGGUUCGACUCCGCGGGGGGGCACCA